GACGAACGCUGGCGGCGUGCUUAACACAUGCAAGUCGAGCGGUAAGGCCCUUUCGGGGGUACACGAGCGGCGAACGGGUGAGUAACACGUGGGUGACCUGCCCUCAGCUCUGGGAUAAGCCUGGGAAACCGGGUCUAAUACUGGAUAUGACUCCAUGACGCAUGUUGGUGGGGUGGAAAGCCUUGUGCGGCUGAGGAUGGGCCCGCGGCCUAUCAGCUUGUUGGUGGGGUGAGGCCUACCAAGGCGACGACGGGUAGCCGGCCUGAGAGGGCGACCGGCCACACUGGGACUGAGACACGGCCCAGACUCCUACGGGAGGCAGCAGUGGGGAAUCUUGCGCAAUGGGCGAAAGCCUGACGCAGCGACGCCGCGUGA
RNAcentral lists this ribosomal RNA (375 nucleotides) under uncultured bacterium. Its description in RNAcentral is "bacterial SSU rRNA". It matches the Rfam family "Bacterial small subunit ribosomal RNA", at positions 28 to 404 of the family's 1533-position model. The record is from RNAcentral.